GUCGGCGAUGAAGAUACACACAACACAAUUCCUUUCAAUUAACUAUUCUAUUAUUUUCAUUUCAAUUUUAAUUAAUACUAUUUAUUUUCCAUCAGACCAGAGAGACAUUCACGUGCCUUGCUCUGUUUUUUCCUUCAUUGCCCAUUUCGUUUAUUUUAUUUAUUUUUAUUUUAUUUUAUUUAUUUGGCUUUUUUGUUUUCCCUUUUUCGCAACCGAUUUCGCUUUUUCUUCUGGCUUCUGUUUGUUUGUGGGGAAAGAUUGUGGGCAGUUACGUUUGCUUCUUGUAUAUAAUAGUGGAGGGUUUUCUCAAUUUGAGAUCAAGAUUGAAACAGAGAGGAAAUGGAAGGAGGAAAGCAAACCAGCUCUUCACUUGCCUCUGAUCUCUUUGGGGCCAAGGAUUCUUCUUCUUCUUCUUCUUCUGGGAUUUUUGGUACCAUGUUUCCGCCGCCUCCAAAGGUUGUGGGGCAAGAGUAUUCUGGAACAGAGAAGAAGAUUAUAUCUGGAAAUCCAAAUUGGACUGCAAAGAAUGGUGUUGCAGAUAGAAAUGCUGUAGGAGGGCAAAACCAGAGGAAGGACGACGUCUCUUAUUAUACGGAUGAGAAGGUGCAGCCCUUUCACUACAGCUCCUCGAUAUACUACGGUGGUCAAGAUGUUUAUUCUCGCCCCGAGUCUGCUCAGAAUCCCGGGACUAGUUUCAACAAAGAUAACGGAGGAGAAGACGACUUGGGCAGUGCUUCACGAGGGAAUUGGUGGCAGGGUGCGUCGUUUAUUUUGCGUGAUGUGAUAAAAAAAAUUAUGCAAUCUAGUAUUUAAGAAUAAGAUAGAAUCCAUUGAUGGAAUGUUCUAAAUUUAUGUUAUGAAUGCAUCAUAUUGACUAUUUUUUUGGGCAGGGUCUCUUUACUAUUAAGACCUAAAUAGAUGUACUUAUUAAGGCAUAAAUAUAUUAAGCAGUGCUCCAUAUAAUGAAGAAACCAGAUGUUUAGUGACAGUUAUUAAAUCAAAACGGCAGCCUCUCUUAGCCACAGUCAAUAUUUUGUAACUGUAGCUGAGUAAACUUCAUUUGUUCCCUCUUCUUGAUCGGGGAACUAUAUAUACAUAAAUCUCAUAUUGUAGUAGUGGAGUACUAUAAUUUAUCCUUUUUGUGAUGUGCAAGAUAAUGAAAGAGGAAGUUCAAUUA
This is an RNA transcript of Salvia splendens (bonfire salvia), 1177 nucleotides long. RefSeq lists it as uncharacterized. The transcript has 5 exons. Lineage: Eukaryota; Viridiplantae; Streptophyta; Magnoliopsida; Lamiales; Lamiaceae. The record is from RefSeq and is a predicted model, not a curated record.